Molecule: unclassified non-coding RNA, 235 nt
Filed under: Hevea brasiliensis (rubber tree)
Lineage: Eukaryota; Viridiplantae; Streptophyta; Magnoliopsida; Malpighiales; Euphorbiaceae
Source: RNAcentral
AUUUUGAAGCAUUAAUAUUGCUAUUUGCCUAAAAAGGUCACUGUAAUUUGGUUGUGAUUUACUUAAAGUUUAAGUUCUCAAAUAGAAAAACUUGUGCAUAAUCCACACAAUUUUCUUUUUCAUUUGUUUCUUCAUUAUGCUGGCUUCUGAUGUACUUUCGUAUUAUUUGCAUAAAAAAUAUACUUAGUAAUGAGAUGUUAUGCAUUGACCGCUUAGGCGUAAGUCUUACUAGUGU